This 23-nucleotide non-coding RNA is filed under the name Rattus norvegicus (Norway rat). Lineage: Eukaryota; Metazoa; Chordata; Mammalia; Rodentia; Muridae. The record is from RNAcentral.
UCAAAUGUUGGUGUUAAAUGAUC